RNAcentral lists this ribosomal RNA (440 nucleotides) under uncultured bacterium. RNAcentral's name for it is "partial 16S ribosomal RNA". It matches the Rfam family "Bacterial small subunit ribosomal RNA", at positions 338 to 795 of the family's 1533-position model. The record is from RNAcentral.
CCUACGGGAGGCAGCAGUGGGGGAUAUUGCACAAUGGGGGAAACCCUGAUGCAGCGACGCCGCGUGAGUGAAGAAGUAUUUCGGUAUGUACAGCUCUAUCAGCAGGGACGAAAAUGACAUUCCCUGACCAAGAAGCCCCGGCUAACUACGUGCCAGCAGCCGCGGUAAUACGUAGGGGGCAAGCGUUAUCCUGAUUUACUGGGUGUAAAGGGAGCGUAGACGGUUAUGUAAGUCUGGAGUGAAAGCCCGUGGCCGAACCCUGGGACUGCUUUGGACACUGUGUAACUGGAGUACAGGAGGGGCAGGCGGAAGUCCUGGGGUAGCGGUGAAAUGCGUAGAUAUCAGGAGGAACACCAGCGGCGAAGGCGGCCUGCUGGAAUGAAACUGACGUUGAGGCUCGAAAGAGUGGGGAGCAAACAGGAGUAGAUACCCCGGUAGUC